GUUUCUAUAGUUGAAUUACAACGAUGGUUUUUCGUAUCAUUGGUCCUGGUUAAAGUCCGGGUAGGAAUU
RNAcentral lists this transfer RNA (69 nucleotides) under Gymnothorax javanicus (giant moray). RNAcentral's name for it is "tRNA-Glu". It matches the Rfam family "tRNA". Rfam says of the family: Transfer RNA (tRNA) molecules are approximately 80 nucleotides in length. Their secondary structure includes four short double-helical elements and three loops (D, anti-codon, and T loops). The record is from RNAcentral. Lineage: Eukaryota; Metazoa; Chordata; Actinopteri; Anguilliformes; Muraenidae.